GACAUAAAGGCAUAGGCAGCAGUGAACUCAACCCAGAAAAGAAAGAACUAGAAAUUCCUUUGCAGAAAACCUAAAGACCAACCUCAGCAUAGACUAAAUUUGCUUCAUACAACUAUUUCUGAUAAACAUAGCAUACUGGUACUCAGGAGAAUGGGAAGUCACUAGACAAAUGCAGGGGGAGAAAUAAGGUUGUAGGUUUAGACUGCAAACAGGGGACAACAUACCCAGGCAGAAACCAUGGAGAAACUUUCUUGUGAUAGAAAGUCUUGUGACAGCUUAAUCCCAGCUCUGGGAUUUGAGUGCUUCUUCAAACAUUCCUACUAUUAGAGAUUUCUCUCCCUAUGCAUUUUUUUUAUUCCUGCCUUCAGGUCACAUAUGACUCCCUGGGCAUAUGGAGCUGCCUAGGGUACUGCUCAAACAUUCACAUUUUGAGAAUAGUCAAGUUGGCACAUAAACUUGGGAAGACUUGACUUUCCUGGAGACAUCAAUUUCGUAGAAAUUGGCUCCACAUGAAAUCCAUAUAAAAAUCUACCUACCCAUGGCUGUAGGUAAAAACACACCAAAUAGUAAAUACUCAGGGUGAACAAUUCAGAAAAUCUUGUAUAUGAUAUAUUGACUAUGUUAAAGGUACUGUAUUCCAGUUAGGAGUUUUGUUGCAUGAUUAGAUCAUGACUGUUCUUGACAUGGGGGAAUAUAUGUAUCUAUUUGAGAUAAGAGAUAAAUGAGUUUGUUGUUCAAUUCUAGUGACAAUUUCACUCUAUCUUAUGGUAUUGUUUUGUUUACCUUAAAAUGCACAGUAAAAUUUGUUUUCAAAAAUUUGGUCAAGUACUUGAGUAAAUAUAUUUUCAAAAAAGACAAAGUGCUCAGUAGAUACAUUAAAUAUGCUCAUAGUGACACUAAUCAGUAAAAUGCUCAAAAAUAUGAGGAGAUAUUACCUCACUAUUUUGGGCGGGUUAAUAUUAAAAAUACCAGAGAUAACAAGUAUUGGCAGUAAUAUGGAGCAAAGAGAACCUUGGGCAGGUUAUUUGUGAGAUUAUGUAAAUCGACACACCCACCAUGAAAAACUACAUAAAGGUGCCUUGGAAAAUUGAGAGUAAAACUUACACGUGAUACAGCAAUCCCCCUCCCUGGAAUGCAUCUAAAAGAAAAUAAUUUAUCUCUCACAGAGACAUCUGCAUCUCCAUGUUUCUUGCAGUACUGUUCACAACAAGCAAGACAGAAGCAAGGAAAGACAUAGCGUCCACCAGUGGAUGACUGUGUGUAGGUGAUGUGGAACGUCCACUAACGUUCAAUGGAAUGUUAUUGAGCCUUCUAAAUAGGUAAAUUUUGUCCCUGUGCUGAUGUAAGUGAACACUGAGGACAGUAUUGUGACAUAAAUCAGACAAGAUUACAGUUUGAUCU
This 1401-nucleotide long non-coding RNA is filed under the name Marmota monax (woodchuck). The record is from RNAcentral. Lineage: Eukaryota; Metazoa; Chordata; Mammalia; Rodentia; Sciuridae.